This 507-nucleotide ribosomal RNA is filed under the name Escherichia coli. Its description in RNAcentral is "bacterial SSU rRNA". It matches the Rfam family "Bacterial small subunit ribosomal RNA", at positions 907 to 1414 of the family's 1533-position model. Lineage: Bacteria; Pseudomonadati; Pseudomonadota; Gammaproteobacteria; Enterobacterales; Enterobacteriaceae. RNAcentral also lists the same sequence under 1 other name. The record is from RNAcentral.
GAAUUGACGGGGGCCCGCACAAGCGGUGGAGCAUGUGGUUUAAUUCGAUGCAACGCGAAGAACCUUACCUGGUCUUGACAUCCACGGAAGUUUUCAGAGAUGAGAAUGUGCCUUCGGGAACCGUGAGACAGGUGCUGCAUGGCUGUCGUCAGCUCGUGUUGUGAAAUGUUGGGUUAAGUCCCGCAACGAGCGCAACCCUUAUCCUUUGUUGCCAGCGGUCCGGCCGGGAACUCAAAGGAGACUGCCAGUGAUAAACUGGAGGAAGGUGGGGAUGACGUCAAGUCAUCAUGGCCCUUACGACCAGGGCUACACACGUGCUACAAUGGCGCAUACAAAGAGAAGCGACCUCGCGAGAGCAAGCGGACCUCAUAAAGUGCGUCGUAGUCCGGAUUGGAGUCUGCAACUCGACUCCAUGAAGUCGGAAUCGCUAGUAAUCGUGGAUCAGAAUGCCACGGUGAAUACGUUCCCGGGCCUUGUACACACCGCCCGUCACACCAUGGGAGUGGG